GACGAACGCUGGCGGCGUGCUUAACACAUGCAAGUCGAACGGAAAGGCCCUGCUUUUGUGGGGUGCUCGAGUGGCGAACGGGUGAGUAACACGUGAGUAACCUGCCCUUGACUUUGGGAUAACUUCAGGAAACUGGGGCUAAUACCGGAUAGGAGCUCCUGCUGCAUGGUGGGGGUUGGAAAGUUUCGGCGGUUGGGGAUGGACUCGCGGCUUAUCAGCUUGUUGGUGGGGUAGUGGCUUACCAAGGCUUUGACGGGUAGCCGGCCUGAGAGGGUGACCGGCAAUGGUGCGCCGUGCGGCCGGCACGGACAGGGGGGGGGGGGGGGCGGGGGGAAGCAUGCAAGGUGGGGGGAGCGCGGGUGGGGGAAAGCGGGGGGCGGGAGGAGGGGCUGGGGGUGGGACGCCGGAGUCGGCGGGGGGGGUGGGUGGGGGAGGGUAAUGGGGAAAGAACCACCGGGGAAGUACGUGCCAACACCCGGGGCAGAAUGGGAAGAGCCAACGUCCAAAC
This 508-nucleotide ribosomal RNA is filed under the name uncultured bacterium. RNAcentral describes it as "partial 16S ribosomal RNA". The stretch from base 20 to 325 matches the Rfam family "Bacterial small subunit ribosomal RNA", at positions 47 to 358 of the family's 1533-position model. The record is from RNAcentral.